AGAACGAACGCUGGCGGCAUGCCUAAUACAUGCAAGUCGAACGAACACUUCGGUGUUAGUGGCGCACGGGUGCGUAACGCGUGGGAAUCUGCCCUUGGGUUCGGAAUAACAGUUGGAAACGACUGCUAAUACCGGAUGAUAUCGAAAGAUACAAAGAUUUAUCGCCCGAGGGAUGAGCCCGCGUAGGAUUAGCUAGUUGGUGAGGUAAGGCUCACCAAGGCGACGAUCCUUAGCUGGUCUGAGAGGAUGAUCAGCCACACGUGGACUGAGA
Molecule: ribosomal RNA, 271 nt
Filed under: uncultured soil bacterium
Lineage: Bacteria
Description: partial 16S ribosomal RNA
Rfam family: Bacterial small subunit ribosomal RNA
Source: RNAcentral